Molecule: ribosomal RNA, 302 nt
Filed under: uncultured bacterium
Lineage: Bacteria
Description: partial 16S ribosomal RNA
Rfam family: Bacterial small subunit ribosomal RNA
Source: RNAcentral
GCAGUAGCCACGGUAAUACGUAGGUGGCAAGCGUUGUCCGGAAUCACUGGGCGUAAAGGGUGCGUAGGCGGGUCUUUAAGUCAGGGGUGAAAUCCUGGAGCUCAACUCCAGAACUGCCUUUGAUACUGAAGAUCUUGAGUUCGGGAGAGGUGAGUGGAACUGCGAGCGUAGAGGUGAAAUUCGUAGAUAUUCGCAAGAACACCAGUGGCGAAGGCGGCUCACUGGCCCGAUACUGACGCUGAGGCACGAAAGCGUGGGGAGCAAACAGGAUUAGAUACCCCCGUAGUCCCUGUCUCUUAUAC